RNAcentral lists this ribosomal RNA (406 nucleotides) under uncultured bacterium. Its description in RNAcentral is "bacterial SSU rRNA". It matches the Rfam family "Bacterial small subunit ribosomal RNA", at positions 30 to 435 of the family's 1533-position model. The record is from RNAcentral.
AUUGAACGCUGGCGGCAUGCCUUACACAUGCAAGUCGAACGGCAGCACGGGAGCAAUCCUGGUGGCGAGUGGCGAACGGGUGAGUAAUAUAUCGGAACGUGCCCGGUCGUGGGGGAUAACGUAGCGAAAGCUACGCUAAUACCGCAUACGAUCUACGGAUGAAAGCGGGGGAUCGCAAGACCUCGCGCGAUUGGAGCGGCCGAUAUCAGAUUAGGUAGUUGGUGAGGUAAAGGCUCACCAAGCCGACGAUCUGUAGCUGGUCUGAGAGGACGACCAGCCACACUGGGACUGAGACACGGCCCAGACUCCUACGGGAGGCAGCAGUGGGGAAUUUUGGACAAUGGGCGCAAGCCUGAUCCAGCAAUGCCGCGUGCAGGAUGAAGGCCUUCGGGUUGGUUAAACGUUA